GUGCCUCAUUCUGCAGCUGCUCUGGCUUUCUUUAGCUCAGGCUUCAUGCAGAGUGGGUGCUUCAGGAGGCUGGCAAACUGUGAAAUCAGCAGUGCUUUCCCUCUUGUGCCAGUACUGCACCCGCAACGAGGAAACCUUGGGAAGCUCAUUUCGGUAUGAUUUUCUGGUGUUUCAGGUAGCCCUGAGGGGAGAAAGACAUGUACUCUGUGAUUUCUUGUGAAUAAAAGAGCAUGCAGAUGUGAAGGCAGAAUUCAAAAGCCUCCCGAAGCAAUGAAAAGACAAAGCUAUUCAUGUGCUGGUGGUAUUCUUCUUCGUGUUACACCAAAGUGCAUCGGUGAAUGUAAGAAGUUAGCAAGUAAUAUGGACAUUUCACAUUCGUGGAGAGUUGGGGCAGUCAGUAAUACACCUUAUCUCAACCUUUGGUAGCCGCCUUCACCCUAAUGGUUAUGAGGGAUUCAGAUAUUUUUCAUGUGCACUCAGGACAUCUUUCUGAGACUAGUAAGUAAUACGUAAAAAGUCAAAAGGGAAAAUAAGUUCCACCUCUGCUUCCUUUAGUGCGCUUUUACAGACAUGCUAGGAGAGUAUGGGAAGAAGAACAGGAAGAAGGAUGAAAGGAAGGUUAUUUGUAGAUGCUUUAUUGGAAAACAUCUCACUUUCUAUAGCACAAGAUUUCAUGCCCUAGAGAGAGACUGAAACUCCUCGCAAGACCUUUUGGUAAGGAACCAAGAACUUAAGCAACAGUGGACAUGUUGAACAGAGAAGGACACGUCUAUGGUGACCCUUGCCUCUGAUAGCAUCUGUGAAGUGAGCACAGGUCUUUUGGUGUCUCUGGGUAUUAUUUCUCUCUGCAGUGGCAAGAGGACAGAUCAGCUAAAGUGGCAGCAGUCAGUCACUGAGCUCACCAGGGCUCUCUGCAGACACAGGUCCCAGUGGUGGAGAAUGAGUCCUCAUGAAGAAGGCUGGGAGGUCUUGGUUCCGUGGGUCCAGAUAGCAGGUACCAGCUGGGCCCUAGAGCUCCAUAAGAUUGGCAUUAUCCUGUAG
RNAcentral lists this long non-coding RNA (1041 nucleotides) under Calidris pygmaea (Spoon-billed sandpiper). Its description in RNAcentral is "lncRNA (ENSCPGG00000008962.1)". Lineage: Eukaryota; Metazoa; Chordata; Aves; Charadriiformes; Scolopacidae. The record is from RNAcentral.